This 377-nucleotide ribosomal RNA is filed under the name uncultured eukaryote. RNAcentral describes it as "partial 18S ribosomal RNA". It matches the Rfam family "Eukaryotic small subunit ribosomal RNA", at positions 592 to 976 of the family's 1831-position model. The record is from RNAcentral.
CAAUAGCGUAUAUUAAAGUUGUUGCAGUUAAAAAGCUCGUAGUUGGAUUUCGGGGUGGCCUGCCUGGUCCACCGCAAGGUGAGUACUGGUCAGCCGCCCUUCCUCUCGAAAGCCCCGACUGCUCUUCAUUGCAGUGGUCGGGUAGUUCGGGACGUUUACUUUGAAAAAAUUAGAGUGUUCAAGGCAGGCUAUCGCCUGAAUACAUUAGCAUGGAAUAAUGGAAGAGGACCUCGGUCCUAUUUUGUUGGUUUCUAGGGCCGAAGUAAUGAUUAAGAGGGACAGUUGGGGGCAUUCGUAUUUAAUUGUCAGAGGUGAAAUUCUUGGAUUUAUGAAAGACGAACUAGUGCGAAAGCAUUUGCCAAGGAUGUUUUCAUUAA